GAUGAACGCUGGCGGCGUGCUUAACACAUGCAAGUCGAACGGGAAACCUUUUAAUAAAGCUUCGGCAGAUUUGGCUGGUUUCUAGUGGCGGACGGGUGAGUAACGCGUGGGUAACCUGCCUUAUACAGGGGGAUAACAACCAGAAAUGGUUGCUAAUACCGCAUAAGCGCACAGGACCGCAUGGUCCGGUGUGAAAAACUCCGGUGGUAUAAGAUGGACCCGCGUUGGAUUAGCUAGUUGGUGGGGUAACGGCCCACCAAGGCGACGAUCCAUAGCCGGCCUGAGAGGGUGAACGGCCACAUUGGGACUGAGACACGGCCCAGACUCCUACGGGAGGCAGCAGUGGGGAAUAUUGCACAAUGGGGGAAACCUUGAUGCAGCGACGCCGCGUGAAGGAAGAAGUAUCUCGGUAUGUAAACUUCUAUCAGCAGGGAAGAUAGUGACGGUACCUGACUAAGAAGCCCCGGCUAACUACGUGCCAGCCGCCGCGGUAA
This 494-nucleotide ribosomal RNA is filed under the name uncultured bacterium. RNAcentral's name for it is "partial 16S ribosomal RNA". It matches the Rfam family "Bacterial small subunit ribosomal RNA", at positions 28 to 523 of the family's 1533-position model. The record is from RNAcentral.